Molecule: long non-coding RNA, 1063 nt
Filed under: Homo sapiens (human)
Lineage: Eukaryota; Metazoa; Chordata; Mammalia; Primates; Hominidae
Description: HSALNT0079570
Source: RNAcentral
CGCAAAGGCAUAGUGCAGGUUCAGUAGCAUAGCCUGUGUGGCUUGUGGUUCAUGAAUCAGACUGCCUAAUCCCGGGAACCACAAGGGACAUCUGUAAAUCCAUUGGCCAGUUCCUGAGUCCACAGAUUUACAACUUGAGGUGGCCUGCACCAGACCCACGGGGCAAUAACAGUCUUCCAUUGAAUUCUUUAGCAGUUUCUACAAUUGCAUAAGUUAACAAGAUCAACCUUGCUGGGAAAUGAACAAGCGACCAGAUGAGGGAAUGGAGGCUUAGAGAGGAAGAAUGGUCCAAGAUGGUGCAGCAAAUGGCAGCCUCAGGAAGAGGAUCCUGACCAGUUCCCUGAAAGGACUGCGUGCAAUUCUACUUGGAGAUCUUCAUAACACCUUAAGGGAAAAAUCCUUUUUGAAAGAAAAACAAGUCUGGGUGGUGCUUGAAAAUUCAGAAGGCAGCUAGAAACUCUGCCAAUUACAACUGGUGAUUGCUGAGUUCUGGAGACAGACUGGGCUUCUGCUUUCUUUUGGUGGAGGUGUCUGCUUGCAGAAAAUUUAUGUUCUGGGAUUUACAACUUCAGGGAGACAAAGGAAACUCCAGCUCAUCUCCCACAUCAUUGAUUGAGAGGACCAUUUUCUGACUGUCUGCACACGUUUCCUAUACUACCCUUUAAUGCAACAAUGGGAUGAAGAGAUGAAGACUUCUAGCAGGCUACCUCAGAAAGGUUGCUGACCAAAGGCUGUAUGGACCAAAAAGUCAUAACACCACCCUGGAUGAAAGGACAUUUACCUAAGGAAUUACCCGCUCUCAAUUCUUCCCAGGGAUGGGCAUUUGAAUUAUUUCCAGUUUUUGGCUAUUAUGAAAAAAACUGCUAUGAACAUUCAUACACAAGUGUGUGUGUGGACCCAUGUUUUCACUGAUCAAGGCCUAAAUACCUACGGUAAGUAUACAUUUAACCUUAUAAGAAAAUGCAAAACUAUUUUUCCAAAGUAGUAUCAUUUUACAUUUCUUCUAACAACAUAUGAGAAUGGCAGUUGCUCUACUAAUAUGGUUUGGCUUUGUGUCCCCACC